This 85-nucleotide transfer RNA is filed under the name Felis catus (domestic cat). It matches the Rfam family "tRNA". From Rfam's summary of the family: Transfer RNA (tRNA) molecules are approximately 80 nucleotides in length. Their secondary structure includes four short double-helical elements and three loops (D, anti-codon, and T loops). Lineage: Eukaryota; Metazoa; Chordata; Mammalia; Carnivora; Felidae. The record is from Rfam by way of RNAcentral.
GCCUGGGUGGCUCAGUAGGUUAAGCGUCUGACUUCAGCUCAGGUCAUGAUCUCAUGGUUCGUGGGUUUGAGCCCCGCAUCGGGCU